Dromiciops gliroides (monito del monte) is the source of this 127-nucleotide small nuclear RNA. NCBI's taxonomy places the organism in Eukaryota, Metazoa, Chordata, Mammalia, Microbiotheria, Microbiotheriidae. The record is from RefSeq and is a predicted model, not a curated record.
AUGUUGUAUGAAAGGAAAAGAAGUUAACCUUCCCCUUGAUAAGUGUGGAAGAGGUCCUAGUGAACUUUACAACAUAUACAUGGUGAACUUAUUGCUACCUAUUCUGUGGCAUCUGCUUUUUCUUUUU